This 441-nucleotide ribosomal RNA is filed under the name uncultured bacterium. Its description in RNAcentral is "bacterial SSU rRNA". It matches the Rfam family "Bacterial small subunit ribosomal RNA", at positions 8 to 448 of the family's 1533-position model. The record is from RNAcentral.
AGAGUUUGAUCAUGGCUCAGGACGAACGCUGGCGGCGCGCCUAAUGCAUGCAAGUCGAACGAGGUCUCACCUUCGGGUGAGUUCCCUAGUGGCCGACGGCUGAGUAACACGUGGGUAACCUGCCCUUGAGUUCGGGAUAACAGCGAGAAAUCGCUGCUAAUACCGGAUACACUCUGCUUGCUAAGAGCUUGUAGAGGAAAGAUUUAUCGCUCUAGGAUGGGCCUGCGUCCUAUCAGGUAGUUGGUGUGGUAACGGCACACCAAGCCAUAAACGGGUAGCUGGUGUGAGAGCAUGACCAGUCAGAGGGGGACUGAGACACGGCCCCCACUCCUCCGGGAGGCAGCAGCAAGGAAUCNUGCACAAUGGGCGAAAGCCUGAUGCCGCGACGCCGCGUGAGGGAUGACGGCUUUCGAGUUGUAAACCUCUUUCUCNANGNGAAGA